Molecule: ribosomal RNA, 641 nt
Filed under: uncultured bacterium
Lineage: Bacteria
Description: bacterial SSU rRNA
Rfam family: Bacterial small subunit ribosomal RNA
Source: RNAcentral
UGCAGUCGAGCGGAAGGCCACGUUCGGUGGUACUCGAGCGGCGAACGGGUGAGUAACACGUGAGUAAUCUGCCCCCCACUUUGGGAUAGCCACCGGAAACGGUGAUUAAUACCGGAUAUGACCCUUGACCGCAUGGUUGUGGGUGGAAAGUUUUUCGGUGGGGGAUGUGCUCGCGGCCUAUCAGCUUGAUGGUGGGGUAAUGGCCUACCAUGGCUUCGACGGGUAGCCGGCCUGAGAGGGUGACCGGCCACACUGGGACUGAGACACGGCCCAGACUCCUACGGGAGGCAGCAGUGGGGAAUAUUGGACAAUGGGCGGAAGCCUGAUCCAGCAACGCCGCGUGAGGGAUGACGGCCUUCGGGUUGUAAACCUCUUUCAGUACCGACGAAGCGAAAGUGACGGUAGGUACAGAAGAAGCACCGGCCAACUACGUGCCAGCAGCCGCGGUAAUACGUAGGGUGCGAGCGUUGUCCGGAAUUAUUGGGCGUAAAGGGCUCGUAGGCGGUUUGUCGCGUCGGGAGUGAAAACACUGGGCUUAACUCAGUGCUUGCUUCCGAUACGGGCAGACUAGAGGUAUGCAGGGGAGAACGGAAUUCCUGGUGUAGCGGUGAAAUGCGCAGAUAUCAGGAGGAACACCGGUG